UUGCCGUUCGAUUGACUGCCAUUCGAGGGACUGUUGUGCCCUUGUCUUUCAGGCAAGAUGCAUAAAUUGCUGGGGCACCCACUUGAGAGGACUCUCUCCGCCCCUCUCCCACCAGUUGUUUGGACUCAACACAUUUAUUUUUGACGUGCGCCCCGUGAUUUGUCAUUGACAUCAUUAUGGACGCGGACGCGGAUCUCCCUUCUCGCCCAAAGCGCUGCAGACAAACGGGCUGCAACACUUCAGAGGAGAGAGGAAUCAGAGUCUGAUCGGAGUCGGAGUCGGGUACUUCAUCUGUGCCGCUUGGAUAAACAGAAUAGAUGGAACGAUGGAGCGUUUGGAGGGUGGCCGGAGCCGGAGCCAGUUGUUUGUAUAAAUAAUUGCGUUUUUGACAUUCAUUCAGCCCACCCCCCCCCUCCAGGGAGGCGGCCCCUCCGGGGGACUUAACUUAAUUACGCACCAAACGCAGUCCCCGAGGCCUCGAGAAGCUUACCCAAAAACUCCAUAUUACAAUAAUUUAAUUUAUGCUUGCUAUUUAUUAUUUUCUAAAUUGUUUUGGAACGUGCCGCCGCAGCCCUCGGGCUCCAAUA
Molecule: small RNA, 587 nt
Filed under: Drosophila pseudoobscura pseudoobscura
Lineage: Eukaryota; Metazoa; Arthropoda; Insecta; Diptera; Drosophilidae
Description: GA30884
Source: RNAcentral